Molecule: ribosomal RNA, 389 nt
Filed under: Syndiniales sp.
Lineage: Eukaryota; Dinophyceae; Syndiniales
Description: partial small subunit ribosomal RNA
Rfam family: Eukaryotic small subunit ribosomal RNA
Source: RNAcentral
AUUCCAGCUCCAAUAGCGUAUAUUAAAGUUGUUGCGGUUAAAAAGCUCGUAGUUGGAGUUCUGCCAGGUGACGCUCGUCCGCCCAAGUGGUGUGUACAGGGCGUGCAUCUGGCCCUUUCAAGGGGAACGUGUCUGCUCUUUAUUGAGUGGUGCGAGAUCCUUGACUUUUACUUUGAGGAAAUCAGAGUGUUCCAAGCAGGCUCUCGUCGUGUAUAGCUCAGCAUGGAAUAAUAGCAUUGGAGUUCGUUUCUAAGCUGUUGGAUGCAAGAAGCGAGGUAAUGAUGAAGAGGGAUAGUUGGGGGCAUUCGUAUUUAACUGUCAGAGGUGAAAUUCUUGGAUUUAUGAAAGAUGAACUCAUGCGAAAGCAUCUGCCAUGGAUGUUUUCAUCA